AUGAGGUUAAGUAUUUUUACCUAUAUUAUAUCACUUAUUUCUUACAAAUGGAGCAAGGGAGCAAGCAAGCAAGGGAGGUAUUAUUAUCCCUAUUUUAUGUAUUUAUGUAUUUAUUUUUGAUUUCUAUUCUUUUGGUUUUUUUGUUGUUUUUUAUUGAUGUAUCAUAGUUGUACAUGUUUUGGGGUACAUGUGAUAUUUUUGAUACAUGUAUACAAUGUGUAAUGAUCAAAUCAGAGUAAUUUGGAUAUUCAUCACCUCGAAUAUUUAUCUUUUCUUUGUGUUGGGAACAUUAUAAUUUUUCUCUGCUAGCUAUUUUAGAAUAUAUAAUAAAUUAUUGUUCCCUAUGAUUUCUCCAUUGUACAAUUGAAUACUAAAAUUUAUUAUGUCUAUCUACAUAUCCCCAGUUCAAUAACUAUAAUUUCUCUGCUGUGCAAUCAAAUACUAGAACUUCUUCCUUCGAACGCUAUAUCCCUAAUUCAAUAACAAGUAAACUGAAGCUCAGCAUGGUCUAGGAACUUUGUUACGUUAACACAGCAAGUGAGUGUUGCAGCCUGGAUCCAAAAAUCAGGCCUGGUCGACCUCAAAGUCCAGAUUAUUGACCUUUCUACCAUAAUGUAUGGAGUUUUAGGAUUUGAAGAUAAAAGAGGUGAAAAUUUGGAAAUGGUUUCUGGACUUUUGAAUUUUGGCAAACAGCUAUGUGAUAAGUCCACCCUGCAGACCCACAACUUUUGGAAAUAACUCUACUGUGACCUUCAGUAGCAGAAGCUGCUCCUGGGGUGGUAGAACACAAGGAAAACACACACUAGUAAAAAUUUCAUGUGCCUUCUUUGUUCUGUACAUGUGUUUCUCUUGAUUAGUAUAUGGUAGUAUCCUCAAAUCAUAGUAACAAGUAUACUUUUUCCAGUGAAUUGCAUGUGUAUAUUAUUGUAUAGUAUAAAAGGCAAUAUUUCCAUUUAUUAUCAUCUGUGCUUUUCAAAGAAACUCUGUGAGUCCAACAGGGCAGAUAAUAGAAGCAACUGCCCUUUCUCUCCCCCGUUAAAUGCAACCCAAUGUCACAGUCCGUAGCAUCCCCAGAUGAGUGUAUUAAAGGUGAGAAAUUCCCAAAGUCAAACUCAGUAGCAUCCUUGAAUGAGUGUAU
RNAcentral lists this long non-coding RNA (1138 nucleotides) under Homo sapiens (human). RNAcentral describes it as "HSALNT0289550". The record is from RNAcentral. Lineage: Eukaryota; Metazoa; Chordata; Mammalia; Primates; Hominidae.